CCUACGGGGGGCAGCAGUGGGGAAUAUUGGACAAUGGGCGAAAGCCUGAUCCAGCCAUGCCGCGUGUGUGAAGAAGGCCUUCGGGUUGUAAAGCACUUUCAGUGGGGAAGAAAGCCUUGGGGCUAAUACCCUCGAGGAAGGACAUCACCCACAGAAGAAGCACCGGCUAACUCCGUGCCAGCAGCCGCGGUAAUACGGAGGGUGCGAGCGUUAAUCGGAAUUACUGGGCGUAAAGCGCGCGUAGGCGGUCUGAUAAGCCGGUUGUGAAAGCCCCGGGCUCAACCUGGGAACGGCAUCCGGAACUGUCAGGCUAGAGUGCAGGAGAGGAAGGUAGAAUUCCCGGUGUAGCGGUGAAAUGCGUAGAGAUCGGGAGGAAUACCAGUGGCGAAGGCGGCCUUCUGGACUGACACUGACGCUGAGGUGUGAAAGCGUGGGUAGCAAACAGGAUUAGAUACCCUUGUAGUC
Molecule: ribosomal RNA, 465 nt
Filed under: Vreelandella stevensii
Lineage: Bacteria; Pseudomonadati; Pseudomonadota; Gammaproteobacteria; Oceanospirillales; Halomonadaceae
Description: partial 16S ribosomal RNA
Rfam family: Bacterial small subunit ribosomal RNA
Source: RNAcentral